UAAUAUCCCCACGCUGUAUGCUCUUCUGCAAGUAUCCUUGCCACUCUUUCACGAGGAAACGUUAUUUCUCCACCCCUGGAAUCUGAGCAGGACUUUAGAUGUCUUCGGUCAGUAGAUUAUGACUGCCAUAAUGUUAUAAUAGCUCUGUGCAUAGCCCUUAAAUGGCCUGGCAACUUCCACUUCCCACUUCUUGGAAACUGGCCACCAUGUAACAAGUAGGGCAAAAGCUGAGGCCAUUGUGGUGUGAGGAAGCCCAGGAAGGCCUGGAAGAUGAGGUUCCAUGCUGAGAGGUGAAGAAGCCAGUGCUCACCAAGGCACCAGACAUGUAAAUGAAGACGAGGUGCAUCCUCCAGCUGAUCCAGCUGAAUAUAUGCAGCUGCUGUGGGCACUGCCAUGUGAAGCCACAAAGAGGAACUUGUCGGGCUUCUUGUCCCCCUCCUCCAAGUGUGAACCUCCCACUAGAAUCUGUCUGCUUCACUUCACUCGCCCAUACCUUCAGAGCAUAUAAGGAUGACAUUGAUUGAUUAGCAAAACCUCAUAGACUACACCCAGGAAUAUUGGCAGUGCUGUGCGGCUUUUGGAGCUGAUGUUUGGAACCUAAACAUGCCACUGCAAUUUGAGAGCGAUGUGGCGUGCCAUCCUCCUGCUGUACUAACAAUCCCACAGAAGUUGUCACCUACGCUCAGUGUGGCCAUGACGCCAGGCAAAAACCAGAAGUCGAUCAGCAGAUUGCAAUCUACACGAAAGGCAGUGUGCCCCAGUUUGAGGAGCGGUUGCAGGACAACUUAACCAUCGUGACUGGUAUUUUCAUAGGCAUUACAUUCCUACAGAUUUGGGGGUUGUGCCUGGCCCAGAAUCUGCUGAGUGACAUUGAAGCUGUCAAAGCCAGCUGGCAGAGUGCCUGUCACAGCUGCUCCAAGACACUGGACAGGCCCAGCCUUCCCAACCGUCCGGUGUGCCCAGCUGAUACCCAAGCUGCACGGACCCUGAUCACAGAGGCAUCCUGUGAUCCCACCUGAUGGAGCUGCCAAGAACUCACCUUUUGGUGGGGUAAAACUGAGAAAUGCUGCUCACUGACAGAUUAAAAAAAAAAACAAAACUUUGGUUACUUUUUCUAACUUCAUAUGAUGAGUAUUUCGAUCCUUAAAAGUUCUGUCUUUCUUCUUUAAAAAUUAAGACAUUUAAAGCUCUAGAUUUUGGAGAGUUUUGUUGUGCUGGGUCAUUCUAUUUUGUUAGUGAUUUCUUUUCGAUUUCUCCUCAAAUUCAAGGGUUUUCUAAAAAUGCAUUUCUUAAUUUCCAAGUAAUUAAGACUUUUUAAAACCCUUUCGUUAUUUACUUUCAAUUUUAUUGGAUUAAUUUUUAAGGUUUUCUUCAUGACCAAGUCCAAUUUUUAAAACAUGUACAUAAACAUAGAAAAACCCUGUUUUGUGUCUGAAGGAUGGGAAAGUUUUAUAUACAGCUAUCAAGUCAAGUUUGAGUGUGACCAAUUCCACUAUAUUAUUUCUUUAAAAAAAAAAAAUCCUUUCUUAAAGGGGAACUAAAGCGAACUGAAAGGGCACCUAAUGGCCAAAGCUGGAACAAUCUGGGCAACAAAAUAAAUAAAAUAGUGUGGAGUCUUAGCCUAAAAUAGAAGCUAAAUUUUUAUGAGUCCAUAUUGAUUUAAAUAAAUGACUGAAUACAUAAGUAACUGGAAGAGAAUGGACAAAUCUCCCAUGCAGAAUUCCCAAUAAUUUAUGUAGCAACUCUACUUUCAAGGUCAUGGAGCAGAGCUCCCACUUACUAUGUGUGGGCUAAGCCUAGUGACUUCUUUCCUCAGAAUAUGGAAAGAGGAGGGGAAAAGUAACCUUACAGCGGAGACACAUGACAAACACUGCUUCAUCCAGGUGAUCAAGGUUAACAUAUGCGUGAUAAGUCACCUCACAGUUUGCCUCCUUGAUAUGAUGUAAGGGCAAUGGCAUUUUACCUCGGUGGUGUUUCUCCCCAGUCUGUAUCGUCAUAUGAUUCUGUGCCGCAACACUGUAA
Molecule: non-coding RNA, 2022 nt
Organism: Vicugna pacos (alpaca)
Lineage: Eukaryota; Metazoa; Chordata; Mammalia; Artiodactyla; Camelidae
Source: RefSeq, a predicted model, not a curated record